UGUUGUCUGAUGCUGUGAGGUGGUUGUUGUCUGAUGCUGUGAGGUGGUUGUUGUCUGAUGCUGUGAGGUGGUUGUUUGUGAUGCUGUGAGGUGGUUGUUGUCUGAUGCUGUGAGGUGGUUGUUGGUUGUGAUGCUGUGAGGUGGUUGUUUGUGAUGCUGUGAGGUGGUUGUUGUCUGAUGCUGUGAGGUGGUUGUUGUCUGAUGCUGUGAGGCUGUUGUUUGUGAUGCUGUGAGGUGGUUGUUGUCUGAUGCUGUGAGGCUGUUGUUUGCUGAUGCUGUGAGGUGGUUGUCUGAUGCUGUGAGGUGGUUGUCUGAUGCUGUGAGGUGGUUGUCUGAUGCUGUGAGGUGGUUGUUGUCUGAUGCUGUGAGGUGGUUGUUGUCUGAUGCUGUGAGGUGGUUGUUGUCUGAUGCUGUGAGGUGGUUGUUGUCUGAUGCUGGGAGGUGGUUGUUGUCUGAUGCUGGGAGGUGGUUGUUGUCUGAUGCUGGGAGGUGGUUGUUGUCUGAUGCUGGGAGGUGGUUGUUGUCUGAUGCUGGGAGGUGGUUGUUGUCUGAUGCUGUGAGGUGGUUGUUGUCUGAUGCUGUGAGGUGGUUGUUGUCUGAUGCUGUGAGGUGGUUGUUGUCUGAUGCUGUGAGGUGGUUGUUGUCUGAUGCUGUGAGGUGGUUGUUGUCUGAUGCUGUGAGGUGGUUGUUGUCUGAUGCUGUGAGGUGGUUGUUGUCUGAUGCUGUGAGGUCGUGGUGUGACGCUGUGAGGUCGUGGUGUGACGCUGUGAGGUCGUGGUGUGACGCUGUGAGGUCGUGGUGUGACGCUGUGAGG
Oncorhynchus tshawytscha (Chinook salmon) is the source of this 814-nucleotide long non-coding RNA. RefSeq lists it as uncharacterized. The record is from RefSeq and is a predicted model, not a curated record. The transcript has 3 exons. NCBI's taxonomy places the organism in Eukaryota, Metazoa, Chordata, Actinopteri, Salmoniformes, Salmonidae.